UUUAUCAUUCUGUAGGUGCAGAUUUGCCAGCACACACACACACACACACACACACACACACACACAGAGAGAGAGAGAGAGAGAGAGAGAGAGAGAUUCAAAACAUAAUUAACUGACCUAAAGGUCAGAUCUGAGUUUCACACAUACUUUUCAAUCCGGACUGGGGCUGAACACCUCCAGCUCUAUUUUAACCUGCAGAGACAUGGAGACAUACACAUAUACCAGCGUCUGCAUUGCUGUCACGUCUCUGCGUCACCGCCUUUCAUCAUCCCAGCGCUUGCAGACCUGACUCAUGGAUCAUGUAAAAAUGAGUAUGUGGAUCCUGCAGACUCCUGCUGAUGCCGGUUUGAAAGCCUACCACUGCACUUCCUUUUGAAUGGACAUUAGAAGGUGUGUGAAGAGAAGUCUGACUACGAAUUUGUUAUGAUGGGAAACGGUGGGACACUGGUGUUGGUCAUUCUCACAUCCAUCUUUAUGGCAAGAAGUCACACAAAAGUUGUCCAUCUUUCCACCCAUCUGGAAAGUGAUAAUGGUAAGAAGAUUGCUGUCUGUAAGGCCAGACAUACAAUGAUAGAACCCACUCUUCACUGGGAACCUCCCCUAAGCGUUUUGUACAGCUAUUUUACUGUCGACUACAACAACGCAUCCUCCACUAUUGAGAAUCGUGUGUAUCUGGAUGAUCAUUUCAACAUCAUUGAGCUUGUCUGUGUGGCCACAUACCCAUCUCCCAUGUCCGGCUCUGUACGGCUAAAGAAGACUCUACAACUUCCAUCAGGAGAAAGAUUUUGUCUCCGAAUAAAGGAGGACACACCUGAGAAGAGAUGAAGUGAUACAGAGAAGUGUGAAUGGAAAAAACGAAUUUUUGAAUGACCUGAGGAUUAAAAUUUUUUUUUAUUUAAUAGCUUAUCCUUACAAAAAAAAAAGUAUGUGUUGUGUUUAUCAUUAGAUCAAUUUUUUAAUCUGGCAUCUAAAUGAAAAAUCUUGCAUGUUCUCAUCUUUCUCAUGAUUGUAACAUGAUUUGAUAGUGUGCCUGAUGUAUUUGUGUGUUGAUGUAUUUUUGAUGCUUAAAGUGUGGUUUAAAUUACUAUAUCUAUCCAGCUUCACAUACAAAUCAUAGUCUACAAAUCAUUUUCGAAUAAAACCUAAGAAUCUUGCAAUCUUUAUUUGUGGUAAUCUGAAGUGAUUUCAUUACUUGCACAUAUGCAAUAAAGGUCAUUACUGUUGCUUGAGACAGAGAAUAGCG
This 1243-nucleotide long non-coding RNA is filed under the name Danio rerio (zebrafish). RNAcentral describes it as "lncRNA (ENSDARG00000117587.1)". The record is from RNAcentral. Lineage: Eukaryota; Metazoa; Chordata; Actinopteri; Cypriniformes; Danionidae.